Elaeis guineensis (African oil palm) is the source of this 106-nucleotide small nucleolar RNA. The record is from RefSeq and is a predicted model, not a curated record. Lineage: Eukaryota; Viridiplantae; Streptophyta; Magnoliopsida; Arecales; Arecaceae.
ACAGCAUGGUGUGGAUAUUUAUGAAUUAGAUUUUGGAGUCUCUCCCAAGUCUCAUGGAAUAUUUCUCCAUCUAUCUGAGAAAAACUGGGAAUAGCUUUUUUAAUCU